UAAUAAGUGUUUUAUGGCACUUUUUAAAUCCAUAUCCACCUUGUGUGCAAUGUCGGUCGAUCUUCUUUUUUUGAGGGUCGACCAAACAUCAACCUUCAUUUUUUAACUCUUUGUCUGAAAAAUAUUAUGAAUAAACAAUUCAAAAUA
RNAcentral lists this unclassified non-coding RNA (147 nucleotides) under soil metagenome. RNAcentral describes it as "partial internal transcribed spacer 1". The record is from RNAcentral.